GGCACUUUGGCCGAGUGGUCUAAGGCGCCGUGUUCAGGAGCAAUCCAGAAUUCGCGGUCUAGUAAUAGGCGAGGGUUCGAAUCCCUCAGGUGUCA
This is a transfer RNA of Trichoderma virens Gv29-8, 95 nucleotides long. It matches the Rfam family "tRNA". From Rfam's summary of the family: Transfer RNA (tRNA) molecules are approximately 80 nucleotides in length. Their secondary structure includes four short double-helical elements and three loops (D, anti-codon, and T loops). NCBI's taxonomy places the organism in Eukaryota, Fungi, Ascomycota, Sordariomycetes, Hypocreales, Hypocreaceae. The record is from Rfam.